This 446-nucleotide ribosomal RNA is filed under the name uncultured bacterium. RNAcentral's name for it is "partial 16S ribosomal RNA". It matches the Rfam family "Bacterial small subunit ribosomal RNA", at positions 338 to 795 of the family's 1533-position model. The record is from RNAcentral.
CCUACGGGGAGCAGCAGUCGAGAAUCAUUCACAAUGGGGGAAACCCUGAUGGUGCGACGCCGCGUGGGGGAAUGAAGGUCUUCGGAUUGUAAACCCCUGUCAUGUGGGAGCAAAUUAAAAAGAUAGUACCACAAGAGGAAGAGACGGCUAACUCUGUGCCAGCAGCCGCGGUAAUACAGAGGUCUCAAGCGUUGUUCGGAAUCACUGGGCGUAAAGCGUGCGUAGGCUGUUUCGUAAGUCGUGUGUGAAAGGCGCGGGCUCAACCCGCGGACGGCACAUGAUACUGCGAGACCAGAGUAAUGGAGGGGGAACCGGAAUUCUCGGUGUAGCAGUGAAAUGCGGAGAUAUCGAGAGGAACACUCGUGGCGAAGGCGGGUUCCUGGACAUUAACUGACGCUGAGGCACGAAGGCCAGGGGAGCGAAAGGGAUUAGAUACCCCAGUAGUC